Molecule: long non-coding RNA, 244 nt
Organism: Melanotaenia boesemani (Boeseman's rainbowfish)
Lineage: Eukaryota; Metazoa; Chordata; Actinopteri; Atheriniformes; Melanotaeniidae
Exons: 3
Source: RefSeq, a predicted model, not a curated record
CUAAGGCAGCAGCUGGAGCAGAUGUCCCUGUCACGUUUCGGGAUACAGCGAUUUGAUGGGUCCGAUGUGGACAUUCGUUUUUUCACCCGGUUUGCAUCUUAUGACCACCUGAUGCGGUUUUGGCAGGUCAUUCAACCAUCACUGAAAUACAUGGUCCGAGCGACCAGGUUAACUGCUGAUGAUGCUGGACGACUGAGUGCUCCCACGGGACAGGCUCUACACCCAAUAGAUGAGAUGUUCCUGU